Molecule: long non-coding RNA, 944 nt
Organism: Pseudopipra pipra
Lineage: Eukaryota; Metazoa; Chordata; Aves; Passeriformes; Pipridae
Exons: 2
Source: RefSeq, a predicted model, not a curated record
GACAGCAGAUGCUUGGGGAGGUCAGGAAAGCAAAAGGAAUCAGUUCUGCAGCCCCGCGGCAGCCACGGCGUUUACAUCGCUCGCACAUUCGACCGCUGAAACGGUCGGGAUAAAAAAAAAAAAAAAAAAAAAAAAGGGAGAGGGAGAAAAACGCUCAGACUGAAGCGAAAUACAAUUAAAUGAAAGCCCCGGCACGGUUCUAAAUCAAUAAGUGCGCUCGGCCCGGGAGUAAGUAUCGGAUAUCUAUCGGAUAUCUCUCCAGGCUCGUAUCACCUUACAGGAAAUGCCCGGGGGAAAAGGGAAAAAAGGAAAGCCACCCCUGUGGGAGCGGGUGGAAAGGCUCCGGGCAGAGGCUGUGCCUGCCCGGGAACGCUGCGGGGGCUGACCCGCGGCCCCAGGGCCCAAAGACCCGGCCAAGCACUUCUAAGCGAGAGACACGUUUAAAAACAUGUUUUUUUUCCUGCCUAAGUGUUGAAGCAUCACGAGGAAAAAACGUAAUUUCACCAUUUUCCACACAGGGAGAGGCGGCUGAAACCCAGGGGGAAAGCAACAGGGCUACAUAAGAAAUGUGCAACACAGCAAAGUGUUCUCUUUCUGUGUGCCAGGCUUGAGUACAGAGGUUUUGGCAUCAGAGAUUUGCUUCUGCGUGGGGUUUCUUAUCUUGGAAAGAGCUGCCUGGGUCUGACAAUGGGAAUGUGAGGGAAUAAAAGCAGGCUGUUCCUGCUGGCUGGACAGGGGCAGGCCAUGCUGAGCCAUUCUCCUGUUUAUUAUUAUUAAUAAGGGAACACCUUGGGUGCACGUGUGUGCUGAAAAUAACUCUGGAAACUUAAAUGCUAUUUCCCCCUUUGUGUUUCACUCUGAAAUUUUUCAGCUUCUUGUAGCAGAAAACGUGGGUUGUUUGUUGUUUUUUUUCAGUUUUAUGGCAUCAUAAAGUGCCUUUGAGU